RNAcentral lists this ribosomal RNA (1369 nucleotides) under uncultured bacterium. Its description in RNAcentral is "bacterial SSU rRNA". It matches the Rfam family "Bacterial small subunit ribosomal RNA", at positions 28 to 1381 of the family's 1533-position model. The record is from RNAcentral.
GACGAACGCUGGCGGCGUGCCUAAUACAUGCAAGUAGAACGCUGAAGAGAGGAGCUUGCUCUUCUUGGAUGAGUUGCGAACGGGUGAGUAACGCGUAGGUAACCUGCCUUGUAGCGGGGGAUAACCAUUGGAAACGAUAGCUAAUACCGCAUAACAAUGGAUGACACAUGUCAUUUAUUUGAAAGGGGCAAUUGCUCCACUACAAGAUGGACCUGCGUUGUAUUAGCUAGUAGGUGAGGUAACGGCUCACCUAGGCGACGAUACAUAGCCGACCUGAGAGGGUGAUCGGCCACACUGGGACUGAGACACGGCCCAGACUCCUACGGGAGGCAGCAGUAGGGAAUCUUCGGCAAUGGGGGCAACCCUGACCGAGCAACGCCGCGUGAGUGAAGAAGGUUUUCGGAUCGUAAAGCUCUGUUGUAAGUCAAGAACGAGUGUGAGAGUGGAAAGUUCACACUGUGACGGUAGCUUACCAGAAAGGGACGGCUAACUACGUGCCAGCAGCCGCGGUAAUACGUAGGUCCCGAGCGUUGUCCGGAUUUAUUGGGCGUAAAGCGAGCGCAGGCGGUUUGAUAAGUCUGAAGUUAAAGGCUGUGGCUCAACCAUAGUUCGCUUUGGAAACUGUCAAACUUGAGUGCAGAAGGGGAGAGUGGAAUUCCAUGUGUAGCGGUGAAAUGCGUAGAUAUAUGGAGGAACACCGGUGGCGAAAGCGGCUCUCUGGUCUGUAACUGACGCUGAGGCUCGAAAGCGUGGGGAGCGAACAGGAUUAGAUACCCUGGUAGUCCACGCCGUAAACGAUGAGUGCUAGGUGUUGGAUCCUUUCCGGGAUUCAGUGCCGCAGCUAACGCAUUAAGCACUCCGCCUGGGGAGUACGACCGCAAGGUUGAAACUCAAAGGAAUUGACGGGGGCCCGCACAAGCGGUGGAGCAUGUGGUUUAAUUCGAAGCAACGCGAAGAACCUUACCAGGUCUUGACAUCCCGAUGCUAUUUCUAGAGAUAGAAAGUUACUUCGGUACAUCGGUGACAGGUGGUGCAUGGUUGUCGUCAGCUCGUGUCGUGAGAUGUUGGGUUAAGUCCCGCAACGAGCGCAACCCCUAUUGUUAGUUGCCAUCAUUCAGUUGGGCACUCUAGCGAGACUGCCGGUAAUAAACCGGAGGAAGGUGGGGAUGACGUCAAAUCAUCAUGCCCCUUAUGACCUGGGCUACACACGUGCUACAAUGGUUGGUACAACGAGUUGCGAGUCGGUGACGGCAAGCUAAUCUCUUAAAGCCAAUCUCAGUUCGGAUUGUAGGCUGCAACUCGCCUACAUGAAGUCGGAAUCGCUAGUAAUCGCGGAUCAGCACGCCGCGGUGAAUACGUUCCCGGGCCU